CCAGCUGAACCACAGAGGCAGAGCAGCUUCAGAGAUUUCUACUAAUCCAUCAAAGCCUGGUCUUCAGUGAAGCAAAGGAUCCACAUUUUCUUUCUCAUAUUCUUCACUCCACCCUCUGACAUUUCUGGCAGCAAAGCGUUGUUCAUGUGCCAGUCUGAAUGAAGUGACCUGAUUAUUCCUGUGGGAAGAUCCUUCUGUCACUAGAGGAGCAAAUUGUAGAGAAAUUAAGGAAGAUGAUUGCUGCAGAUGGAAACACAAACCCCACUAUGUUGUAUACCAACCUUUCAGCUGAUACCCAGGAUGGGGCAUUUGAGAGUGCCCGCGACGUAACAGAUUGUGUCGAUGAAUGUGCUGAUUUGGAAUGGAAGCCAGCAAACAAUGAACAGCAAGAGCACAGCAAGGACCAGUGUGGUGGCUUUCCUCUCUGUAUGGACUAACCG
Molecule: long non-coding RNA, 440 nt
Organism: Cuculus canorus (common cuckoo)
Lineage: Eukaryota; Metazoa; Chordata; Aves; Cuculiformes; Cuculidae
Exons: 3
Source: RefSeq, a predicted model, not a curated record